Molecule: non-coding RNA, 94 nt
Organism: Microbotryomycetes sp. JL221
Lineage: Eukaryota; Fungi; Basidiomycota; Microbotryomycetes
Source: the annotation of a GenBank genome assembly
GGUUGGAUCGUAUAGUGGUCAGUACAGUCGGUUCUGAUUUGGCGUUAUGCCGAACGGAUUCCGACUAACCUGGGUUCGAACCCCAGUCCGACCU